Long non-coding RNA from Seriola dumerili (greater amberjack), 1488 nucleotides. RefSeq lists it as uncharacterized. NCBI's taxonomy places the organism in Eukaryota, Metazoa, Chordata, Actinopteri, Carangiformes, Carangidae. The transcript has 2 exons. The record is from RefSeq and is a predicted model, not a curated record.
UGUCAGAGAUCAGCUGUUCUUCUCUGGCUUCAGCUCUAAAGUCCAACCCCUCCCACCUGAGACACCUGGACCUGAGUCAGAACUACCUGAAGUAUCCAGAUGUGAAGCAGCUGUGUGAUCUUGAGGAGAGUCCAGACUGUCGACUGGAGACUCUGAGAUGGAAGUGGUGAUCGUCCUAAAGAUCUGACGGAGGAAUCAGAAGAAGUGGAGAUGACUCUCAGUGCUGCAGUCUGAACUGAUCUGAGAACAGCUCCACCAUCAUCCCUGUGACUCCUCCACCUUCCACCUGCACCAGAGUCUCAGUCUCAGGAGGUUUCAGUUCUGCUUCUUCUUCUGGAUCACCUCCAGUCGAGGCUGGUUUGGGAAGACUUCAACAGUUUUUCUCAGUCGCUUUGGUUCGUUUCUCAGAUCAGAAUUGAAAUUCUCAAAACUACUUGUUCGAUCUUCACAUCAUUGUGUCACUUGUGCAAAUCAAAAAAGCAGUUUCUCAUUUCUUUGAACAAGUUACAAAUGCUUUGGUACAUCCAUGCAAAUGAUUAUGUACAAUUCUCUGCUGUUUCCUACAUUAUCAAUUGCUUAUGUCAUGUUGAUCAAAAUGUAUUAUAAUGGGUCUCUGUUGAAUAGUCUCACCCCCCACAACAUUUAGGCAUUAGUUCAUCCCAUAAGUCUUUACAUGCAAAAUGGUUGAACAAGUUGUCAUAAUAUGUCAAGCAUAUCUCUAUACAUUUCCAUUAGACUUUUAUUUUCUAAAUUUGUCCUGAAUUGGUAAAUUCCUCCCAGGUGAAUCUUGACUUUCUCUAUCAACUGGCAAGUAUAUAUAUAUAUAUAUAUAUAUAUAGCCGGAGCACAACACAAUGUUACAAUGUCUGACAAUGGAAGGACAAGGAAUUGGACGGGGUCAACAGCCAGAGAGAAGAAGAAGAGGAAGAGGAGUGAGGCUGUGUGGAGGAGGAGUUGGGAGGCAAAACAGAGGAAGAGGCAUAAGAGGCCUUUCUGUAUCACAGUGACAUGGUCUGUCAACAAAUUACAGUACAAACAGUAAAAGUGUAAAUGUGAAUCUUGUCCAGUCUCUUGCAAUCAAUACACUAAGGUGUAACUUACAAUUUACAAUAAGUGUCAUUAAAACUUUAGCCAUAGUUUACAUCAGAACAUCCCUCCAGAGUCACACUGUUAUAUUGACAACAAGACUAAGCAAUUUGACUCAUUUUGACCCAUUUUGUCUUGAUGCUUUGAAACAUGUGACCAUCAGUCUGUGCUGAAACCUGCAGGUUAUCAGUUCAUGUUUGUGUUGUAGCUCCAUCUUGUGGAUCGAUGCAGUUUUGCAGCUGCCUUCCUUUAAUCAGACAGACUGCACGUGAAGAGGAAUCCAAUUAGUUUAAGUGUGUUUGUUUUUCAUAUAUGUACAGAACACUGAUAUUACAUCACAGUGGAAGUUCCAAGUUUCUUUAAUAAAUAAUAAUAAUAAAUAAAGUCAUUAUUUUACAUGUC